AUGAUUACUGUGGCAUUCCCCUUGUCAGCUGGAAGAAUGAUGAUUUCAGGAUCUGAGUUGAGAUCUUUGAUGGCCUGUCUUUCUUUUCUCGUUAUGUUGCUGGGGGGGAAUGCCACAGUAAUCAUGGAAACAAAACAAUACAAAGAAAAAAUCAGACAACUUCUAGAUCCCACAAUUUACAAGAAACUGAAACAAGACCCCACUAACAAAAUCACCAGAAAAACGAACACUCUAAUCAAGAACUCCUCCAUUAACUUUGACAUACGCCAACAGCUGUGCAAAUCAGAAGCCCUCCCACCCAGGCUUUACGGACUCCCCAAAAUCCACAAGGACGCCAUCCCACUCAGACCCAUUGUAAGUGCCAUUGGAUCGCCGACUUACAACCUGGCAAAAUUUCUGGCUACACAGCUACAAACCCACAUUGGGCUCACUGCACAUUAUAUCAAGGACUCUACACACUUUAUAGAAAAGAUCAGCAACCUCAAUCUAAGCACCAAGGACAUCCUGAUCAGCUUUGAUGUGGUGUCCCUUUUUACCAAAGUCCCAGUAGCUGACACCCUCACACUAAUCAAACAAAACUUCCCAGAAGACAUCACAGCCCUGUUUCACCAUUGCCUCACCACUAGCUACUUUCAGUGGGACACUGGAUUCUAUGAACAGAAGGAUGGAGUGGCCAUGGGGAGCCCUCUCAGCCCAGUAGUAGCAAAUUUCUAUAUGGAAUACUUUGAAAAACAGGCCCUAGAAACAGCACCAAAAAAGCCAACUGUUUGGUUCAGAUACGUAGAUGACACCUUCACGAUUUGGAGCCAUGGAGAGGAAGAACUCAGCAAGUUCCUGGACCAUCUUAACAGCAUCCACCCAAACAUCCAAUUCACCAUGGAAAAAGAAAAGGAAGGAAAACUGCCAUUUCUAGAUGUUCUGGUCAUCCGCAAACCCAAUCAACAAUUGGGCCACACAGUUUACAGAAAACCUACACACACAGAUAGAUACCUUCAUAAAAACUCCAACCAUCACCCAAGUCAAAAAAAGGAGCACAAUCAAAGCCCUGACAGACCGUGCACAAAGAAUCUGCGAACCUCACCUCCUCCAAGGUGAACUCAACCACCUAAACUGGGCUCUACAGGCCAAUGGAUACUCCACCCACAGACAUCAGAAAGAGCUGCAAGGCCAAGAACAAGCCAUGAGAGUCAAGACAAAGAUCCACCCAGAGAAAGGUGUACUUACCAUACAUCAAGGGAACUACUGACCGCAUAGGGAAGCUGAUGAAGAAGCACAACCUACAAACUAUCUACAAACCCACGAAGAAAAUCCAACAAAUGCUACGGUCAGCGAAGGACAAGAGGGAUCCUCUCUCUUCUGCAGGAGUCUACCGGAUACCAUGCAGCUGUGGACAAGUCUACAUAGGGACCACCAAACGCAGCGCCCAAACAAGAGUCAAAGAACAUGAAAGGCACUGCAGACUAAUUCAACCAGAGAAAUCAGCCAUAGCAGAGCAUUUGAUGAACCAGCCUGGACACAGAAUACUAUUUGAGAACACAAAAAUGCUGGACCAUUCUAACAACUAUCAUGUCAGACUACACAGAGAAGCCAUUGAAAUCCACAAGCAUGUGGACAACUUCAACAGAAAGGAAGAAACCAUGAAAAUGAACAAAAUCUGGCUACCAGUAUUACAAAACUCAAAAAUCAGAACAGUAAAUAAAAAGCAAUACUCUGAAAACAGAGGGUUUCCAGACAUGAAUCAACCAAGGGCAGUUAACGACUCUAAACAAAGGAUGCCCCAGAGGCAGGAAGAAGACAGCAGAGAAGCUUUUCAAUGCUAAUUUAAGUGAUUAACUACACAUUCACACUGACCUCUCUCACCCUAGACCUUCCACAGAUAUAUAUUAACCUCUUUGCUUAGUUUCUCCAUACCUCACAACCUCUGAGGAUGCCUGCCAUAGAUGUGGGCGAAACGUCAGGAGAGAAUGCUUCUGGGAACAUGGCCACACAGCCCGAAAGACAUACAACAACCCUGUGAUCCCGGGCCAUGAAAGCCUUCGACAACAAAUUGAUUUCUUGUUUGCAUGUGAAAAAUCUGUGGAUGUAUAUAAGGGUUCCUUCUGUUGUUCACACUCAUUUUCCUAUGACUGGAAUGUCACUCUCAAAGAAAGCAGGUCUAGUUAAACUAAUUAUGAUAAAGAUAGCAAUAAUUCUCAAUGUAGCUGUAUGCAAAUCUUACACUAUUUUGUGUAAGAUUUGCAUACACUAUAAAGAUUUUGUUGUUAAUGUGUCUUGAUCUGCUCUGCUUGACCAUUUUAUUUUUCAGUAGCUAUAGUGCCCAUCCCUUGGUGGAAUCAUUAAUCAUUGAUCAUGAUUGUUCAGCUUCAGCUGUUCUGUGAACUCUUUUAUACUAUCCGGUUAUAUCAUGGUGAUUCCAUGCUAACUGCUGUGCAAUCCUGGAUUUUGUAGUUUUAUGGGUCAAAAAAGUUCUAUGGUGGAAAUGUUUAGACUGCAAAUCCCAGAAAUUCGUAGUAUAGAACCAUUCACAGUAAAAAGGGAGAAUUGUAGUGCUACAACCUCUUCAUCCUACAAUUGAUAUAACAGUGCAAUAAUUUUGUAGUGUGAAAGAACCCCAGGAGAUGAAUGCCUAUUUCUCUGAGUGCUCUAACAUUCAUCACAAGGAACAUCAGUCUCAAAUGCCUUUGAGAGAGCAUGCUUUUUAUAAUAGGCUGUCAAACACACUACUAUGCACGAAAGAAUUUUUUUACCAAUAACUGGAGUACUCAGCAGCCUAUUUGUUCUCAAUCCCCUCCAAAUUUGGUCAAAAUCUAUCCAGCCAGUUUUGUGUGAUGCAGUAACAAACUGACGAAGAAAAACUUAAUUGUGUCAAUGUAGAUUGUACUGUAGCCAAAUUAGGGGGACUCUGAAAGUGAAAUACCCCAUAGCCCCAUCCAGAAAGUGAAUUUAACAUAAUCAGUGCUUGCUAGGUGGUGAAAUCCUUUUAAUUUACUAUAUGAAUGCACCAAACACAAUAGCUUACAGCUAGAAAGACUUGCACAAUUAGUGUGAGUGCCUGUGAAACAGUCUGAAAUUUGCACAACAGCAUUCAUAUAAGGCUCAAUUAAUCCAAUGUAUAGUUCUGUUGAUGAGAAUAUACAUCUGUUGGCUACCACAUUACAUUGUUGGCUCAUGUUUAACUUCUUGUCCACAAGGACUCCAAGGUCUUUUUCACAUGUAUUGAUGUAGAAUUGCUAGUGAAGCUACAACUGAGCAUCCUUGAAAACUCGGAGAAUUACUGAAAAAUAAUGGGUUGUCCCUUAGCACAUCGAGUAUAAAUUUGGUGACACCAGCUUAAAAUCAUGACUCAAUGCUAUGAAAUGAUGAAAUUGUAGUUGUAAGGCCUUUAUAGAGCAUUCUUUUCCAAAGAGUGCUGAUGCCUCAUCAAAGUACAAAUCCCAAGAUUUUAUAGCACUAAGCCAAGGCAGUUAAAGUAAUGUUAAACUGCAUUAAUUCUACAGUGUAGUGUUUGGAAUGCCUUUAAGAAAUUUAAUGUCCUAUUUUUCCCCCUUGUAAGUCUAUGUUUACUAAAAACCUGCUAAAUUCAUGACUGACUUCAGAGUGGAACAAGAUAAAUUAGGGCCAUUUCCUAUUCUAAGUUACAAGGGGCCAACUGAGAAAAUCCAAGAAGAUAAACCAGUUAUGCAAACAAAAAUGGCAUUAUUUACAUGUUGACUGAUAUAAGGAUGUGCACCUAACCCUGUUAUCAUACAACCUGAUCUAUAGCAGAACAAAAUAUAAAGAUUAGUCUUGUUUGAGUAAUCACAGAGACUGCAGACCCUUCCAGAUAAGGCCAAAAUGUGAAAGGAACCAGGAUUAAAAAUCCCAAUUCAGUUCAAGAUUUAAUCCACACAACAGGCCCAAAUACCAGAUUUUCUUUUUGUGUGUCUGUGUCUGUGUAUGUGUCUACGUGUCCUACUGGGUCAAUCAGAGGUCAACUUGAGAAGGCAUCUUCUCAGCAUUUAGCUAGUUACCAGCCAUUUGCCCUAUAAACCUACUGGAGGGGCCUGGCUAUAUCCCUCCUACCAAAGCUCCUGAUGCGUCAUUUUGAUGUGUCAGAAGCUUACUCCAAGGGGCUUGAGGAUGCAGCCAGGCCUCUCCGGUAAAUUUGGAAGGGCAGAUCAUAUAAAAAUCAGGAAUAAGGAUAUAUAACACAAAAAGCAAAAGGUGAGAACUAAACAAUAAUCCAAAUGUCUCAUAAAGUUCCAAAGACGACAAAAUUCAGAAACAGCCAGGAAUCACAGAUACAGCAUAAAUUCUCACUCUAACACAGCAUUGUCUGAACUGCCCUUAAAGUAAACAAUUUGUUGUUUAAUAGCCACCCAUGAAAGCAUUAUGUCUACCAUAAAUUUUCUCCCCAACUUUCCCACGUAAUCUCUCAGCCUGGCAUACUCUAUUUUCAGCUCUGAUUUGUAAACAGAGACUUUUGUUGAUCUCCGUAGCUACAGGUGGCUUCUCCUGGGAACCCUCCUUAUCAUUCAGCUCUUUACUCAAAUCCUUAUUGACUAUUGACUCCUCGGACAGUCCUUGAAGCCCUGUACUUCCCGAGCCAGUUUUCUCACAGAGGGAAACAUCAUUUUCCAGACCUGAAUUGAGAGCCCAUCACAUUGUGCCACAGGGAAGCUCACAAUCCUCUCUAAAUCCUCAGUUAAACCAUCAGUAUCUGGCUGAUCUACAACAGAAGAAUGGAUAUACUUGAUCAGGAUCAAGAUUUCAGAACAAAUCUGUAAUAUCUUAGUUUUGACAUUAUCAAUCAAUCUCGCUUUCUGUGCUGAUUGCAGGAGUAAAAUGUCAUAGAAGGAAGGAAGUCAUUGUAGAAACAGACUGCUCAAAAUGGAAGUUGUUGCCUACGUCUCCUUCUAAUGGUUAGUUGCCCUUAUGGGAGCAGAGUAAGCAAGAACUAUCCAGUGGAAAUCCAGUCCAAGUAUCUUUCCACACUGAGCCUACUCAUUCUACAUACCAUGCCUUUGAUAGUCUAGGAUCUUGCUAGUUGAUCCACAAACACUGACACUCAACACUUUGUAGCAGAAAGUUGGUCAUGUUGUGUCACAAAAUAAUAAUAUGUAAAUUGUAAAUUACAGUCAGAUCUCAACCCCAUCCCACAAAUAUACCAGCAAUUUGAGAACACUUUUGUCUCCUUUCCACUCUAAAGUAACCUUUCAAAGCAUAAUACUGCUAUCUGGUGGAGCAUGAAAAACUCAAAUCAUCCAUUCAUUGUUUCAUUUAGUCCUUUAAUUCAAAGAUUACAAAAAAUGACCUUUUGCCUUCAUUAAAAAUGGCCUCUUUAAAUAAGCAUUAGCUCAAAAUUCUACCCACUGAAUGUCAAUUAUGGCUAGAUUAGGAAUGAAUUUAUUUAGACCACAAGGGAAAUUGAUACUCUCCAUCUGAUCUUGAGUGUAAAAUUCCAGCAUUUUUCUCAUUUAAAACUGAUGAGGAGUUAGCUAAACAAUGUAUUUUUAUUAGAGUCCCCAAAGAACUGAUAAUUAUGCAUGUAUUAUAUGAGGUGUACACAGAUAUGUGUUAAUAUGUGUUUUCUAAAGUUGAGCUGAAACAUUUGCCCAUGAACAUUUCUCAACUGAAAAUAAUGAAACAUUCUGAAAGCAUACUUUUACAUAAGCAAAUUCCAUACCAAUC
RNAcentral lists this long non-coding RNA (5670 nucleotides) under Anolis carolinensis (green anole). RNAcentral describes it as "lncRNA (ENSACAG00000040274.1)". The record is from RNAcentral. Lineage: Eukaryota; Metazoa; Chordata; Lepidosauria; Squamata; Anolidae.